Non-coding RNA from Thalictrum thalictroides, 131 nucleotides. Lineage: Eukaryota; Viridiplantae; Streptophyta; Magnoliopsida; Ranunculales; Ranunculaceae. The record is from the annotation of a GenBank genome assembly.
UUAUAAGAACAGAUUUACUUUUUAAGAACGGGUCUCUAGUAGACUAUAGGGAAAACAAAUUCAUUGUUUUUGGGGUGAACCUAUGGAUUUUUUUAUAAGCACCAAUGGGUUCAGAUAAUGUUGAAACAUUA